This 63-nucleotide transfer RNA is filed under the name Tigriopus japonicus. RNAcentral describes it as "tRNA-Thr". Lineage: Eukaryota; Metazoa; Arthropoda; Copepoda; Harpacticoida; Harpacticidae. The record is from RNAcentral.
GGGGUUAUAGUUUAUAAAAAAUGUGGAUUUUGUAAAUCUGAGAAUGUAAGACUCCAAAUUUAA